RNAcentral lists this ribosomal RNA (257 nucleotides) under uncultured bacterium. Its description in RNAcentral is "partial 16S ribosomal RNA". It matches the Rfam family "Bacterial small subunit ribosomal RNA", at positions 793 to 1055 of the family's 1533-position model. The record is from RNAcentral.
GUCCACGCCCUAAACGUUGAAUACUCGAUGUGUGCGAUACACUGUACGCGUCCAAGAGAAAUCGUUAAGUAUUCCACCUGGGGAGUACGCUCGCAAGAGUGAAACUCAAAGGAAUUGACGGGGCCCGCACAAGCGGAGGAGCAUGUGGUUUAAUUCGAUGAUACGCGAGGAACCUUACCUGGGCUUGAAAGUUAGUGACCGUUCCUGAAAGGGGACUUUCCGCAAGGACACGAAACUAGGUGCUGCAUGGCUGUCGU